RNAcentral lists this transfer RNA (63 nucleotides) under Cavia porcellus (domestic guinea pig). It matches the Rfam family "tRNA". From Rfam's summary of the family: Transfer RNA (tRNA) molecules are approximately 80 nucleotides in length. Their secondary structure includes four short double-helical elements and three loops (D, anti-codon, and T loops). Further hydrogen bonds mediate the characteristic L-shaped molecular structure. tRNAs have two regions of fundamental functional importance: the anti-codon, which is responsible for specific mRNA codon recognition, and the 3' end, to which the tRNAs corresponding amino acid is attached (by aminoacyl-tRNA synthetases). tRNAs cope with the degeneracy of the genetic code in two manners: having more than one tRNA (with a specific anti-codon) for a particular amino acid; and 'wobble' base-pairing, i.e. permitting non-standard base-pairing at the 3rd anti-codon position. Lineage: Eukaryota; Metazoa; Chordata; Mammalia; Rodentia; Caviidae. The record is from Rfam by way of RNAcentral.
GGGGAUUUAGCUUAGCAGCAUAAGCACCUGCCUUGUGAGCAGGCGGCAUGAGUUCAAUCCCUG